AUUGAACGCUGGCGGCAGGCUUAACACAUGCAAGUCGAGCGGGGUGAUGGUGCUUGCACUAUCACUUAGCGGCGGACGGGUGAGUAAUGCUUAGGAAUCUGCCUAUUAGUGGGGGACAACAUCUCGAAAGGGAUGCUAAUACCGCAUCCGUCCUACGGGAGAAAGCAGGGGAUCACUUGUGACCUUGCGCUAAUAGAUGAGCCUAAGUCGGAUUAGCUAGUUGGUGGGGUAAAGGCCUACCAAGGCGACGAUCUGUAGCGGGUCUGGGAGGAUGAUCCGCCACACUGGGACUGAGACACGGCCCAGACUCCUACGGGAGGCAGCAGUGGGGAAUAUUGGACAAUGGGGGGAACCCUGAUCCAGCCAUGCCGCGUGUGUGAAGAAGGCCUUAUGGUUGUAAAGCACUUUAAGCGAGGAGGAGGCUCUUUUGGUUAAUACCCAAGAUGAGUGGACGUUACUCGCAGAAUAAGCACCGGCUAACUCUGUGCCAGCCGCCGCGGUAA
RNAcentral lists this ribosomal RNA (503 nucleotides) under uncultured bacterium. RNAcentral's name for it is "partial 16S ribosomal RNA". It matches the Rfam family "Bacterial small subunit ribosomal RNA", at positions 30 to 523 of the family's 1533-position model. The record is from RNAcentral.